RNAcentral lists this ribosomal RNA (460 nucleotides) under uncultured bacterium. RNAcentral's name for it is "partial 16S ribosomal RNA". It matches the Rfam family "Bacterial small subunit ribosomal RNA", at positions 338 to 795 of the family's 1533-position model. The record is from RNAcentral.
CCUACGGGUGGCAGCAGUGAGGAAUUUUGGUCAAUGGACGAGAGUCUGAACCAGCCAAGUAGCGUGAAGGAUGACUGCCCUAUGGGUUGUAAACUUCUUUUAUAAAGGAAUAAAACGAGGCACGUGUGCCUUUUUGCAUGUACUUUAUGAAUAAGGAUCGGCUAACUCCGUGCCAGCAGCCGCGGUAAGACGGAGGAUCCGAGCGUUAUCCGGAUUUAUUGGGUGUAAAGGGAGCGUAGAUGGGUUGUUAAGUCAGUUGUGAAAGUUUGCGGCUCAACCGUAAAAUUGCAAUUGAUACUGGCAGUCUUGAGUACAGUUGAGGGAGGCGGAAUUCGUGGUGUAGCAGUGAAAUGCUUAGAUAUCGCGAAGAACCCAGAUUGCGAAGGCAGGUUACUAAACUGUGACUGACAUUGAUGCUCGAAAGUGUGGGUAUCGAACAGGAUUAGAUACCCCUGUAGUC